Long non-coding RNA from Homo sapiens (human), 282 nucleotides. NCBI's taxonomy places the organism in Eukaryota, Metazoa, Chordata, Mammalia, Primates, Hominidae. The record is from Ensembl.
CCAAUGGCUUUCCCAAGUCAUUUACCAGGGUAGCACAAGAUGCCUUACAAAUUACCAGAGUAAAGUAAUGGCCCCAACAGGUAUGCUUUUGAGGCCACAUGAGGAGAUACACAGCUGCAGGAUUCCCUAUCAGCAAAGACUGAAUGAUGUCAAACGUUCAGAAAAGGAGAAACUAAGUGGGUGUAGCACAAUCAAUCACUUUGCAUUUCAAGGUGAACUUGCAGCUCUUAUGGGGAGGGAAUUCUCUAUGUCAUUUUCCACGUAAAUAAAGUAAUGAGACCA